RNAcentral lists this ribosomal RNA (253 nucleotides) under uncultured bacterium. Its description in RNAcentral is "partial 16S ribosomal RNA". It matches the Rfam family "Bacterial small subunit ribosomal RNA", at positions 524 to 776 of the family's 1533-position model. The record is from RNAcentral.
UACGUAGGGGGCAAGCGUUGUCCGGAUUUAUUGGGCGUAAAGAGCGUGUAGGCGGCCAUACAGGUCAGCUGUGAAAACUCGAGGCUCAACCUCGAGACGUCGGUUGAAACCGUAUGGCUAGAGUCCGGAAGAGGAGAGUGGAAUUCCUGGUGUAGCGGUGAAAUGCGCAGAUAUCAGGAAGAACACCAAUGGCGAAAGCAGCUCUCUGGGACGGUACUGACGCUGAGACGCGAAAGCGUGGGGAGCGAACAGG